Molecule: unclassified non-coding RNA, 257 nt
Filed under: Penicillium sp.
Lineage: Eukaryota; Fungi; Ascomycota; Eurotiomycetes; Eurotiales; Aspergillaceae
Also listed under: 2 other names
Description: partial contains 5.8S ribosomal RNA, internal transcribed spacer 2, and large subunit ribosomal RNA
Rfam family: 5.8S ribosomal RNA (bases 1-52)
Source: RNAcentral
AACGCACAUUGCGCCCCCUGGUAUUCCGGGGGGCAUGCCUGUCCGAGCGUCAUUGCUGCCCUCAAGCACGGCUUGUGUGUUGGGCUCCGCCCCCCUCCCGGGGGGCGGGCCCGAAAGGCAGCGGCGGCACCGCGUCCGGUCCUCGAGCGUAUGGGGCUUUGUCACCCGCUCUGUAGGCCCGGCCGGCGCCCGCCGGCGACCCCAAUCAAUCUUUCCAGGUUGACCUCGGAUCAGGUAGGGAUACCCGCUGAACUUAA